This 71-nucleotide transfer RNA is filed under the name Mycobacterium phage Myrna. It matches the Rfam family "tRNA". Rfam says of the family: Transfer RNA (tRNA) molecules are approximately 80 nucleotides in length. The record is from Rfam by way of RNAcentral. Lineage: Duplodnaviria; Heunggongvirae; Uroviricota; Caudoviricetes. RNAcentral also lists the same sequence under 1 other name.
GGUCCUAUGGGGUAGUGGUAGCCCAUCUCCCUCUCACGGAGACGGCCCGAGUUCAAUUCUCGGUAGGACUG